UAACGUAGCGAAAGUUACGCUAAUACCGCAUACGAUCUAAGGAUGAAAGCGGGGGAUCGCAAGACCUCGCGCGAUUGGAGCGGCCGAUAUCAGAUUAGGUAGUUGGUGAGGUAAAGGCUCACCAAGCCGACGAUCUGUAGCUGGUCUGAGAGGACGACCAGCCACACUGGGACUGAGACACGGCCCAGACUCCUACGGGAGGCAGCAGUGGGGAAUUUUGGACAAUGGGCGCAAGCCUGAUCCAGCAAUGCCGCGUGCAGGAUGAAGGCCUUCGGGUUGUAAACUGCUUUUGUACGGAACGAAACGGUGAGCUCUAAUACAGUUUGCUAAUGACGGUACCGUAAGAAUAAGCACCGGCUAACUACGUG
Molecule: ribosomal RNA, 368 nt
Filed under: uncultured bacterium
Lineage: Bacteria
Description: bacterial SSU rRNA
Rfam family: Bacterial small subunit ribosomal RNA
Source: RNAcentral